Molecule: ribosomal RNA, 1300 nt
Filed under: metagenome
Description: bacterial LSU rRNA
Rfam family: Bacterial large subunit ribosomal RNA
Source: RNAcentral
CAUAUACGACCGUACCGCAAACCGACACUGGUGCGCGAGAUGAGUAUUCUAAGGCGCUUGAGAGAACUCAGGAGAAGGAACUCGGCAAAUUGACACCGUAACUUCGGAAGAAGGUGUGCCCUAUUAGUGUGAAGUGAACAACGGAGCAUGAACGGGUUGCAAAAAAUCGGUGGCUGCGACUGUUUAUUAAAAACACAGCACUCUGCAAACACGAAAGUGGACGUAUAGGGUGUGACGCCUGCCCGGUGCUGGAAGAUUAAAUGAUGGGGUGCAAGCUCUUGAUUGAAGUCCCAGUAAACGGCGGCCGUAACUAUAACGGUCCUAAGGUAGCGAAAUUCCUUGUCGGGUAAGUUCCGACCUGCACGAAUGGCGUAACGAUGGCCACACUGUCUCCUCCUGAGACUCAGCGAAGUUGAAAUGUUUGUGAUGAUGCAAUCUCCCCGCGGAAAGACGGAAAGACCCCAUGAACCUUUACUGUAGCUUUGUAUUGGACUUUGAACAGAUCUGUGUAGGAUAGGUGGGAGGCUUUGAAGCAGGGUCGCUAGAUCUUGUGGAGCCGACGUUGAAAUACCACCCUGGUGUGUUUGAGGUUCUAACCUGGGUCCAUUAUCUGGAUCGGGGACAGUGCAUGGUAGGCAGUUUGACUGGGGCGGUCUCCUCCCAAAGCGUAACGGAGGAGUUCGAAGGUACGCUAGUUACGGUCGGACAUCGUGACGAUAGUGCAAUGGCAUAAGCGUGCUUAACUGCGAGACUGACAAGUCGAGCAGAUGCGAAAGCAGGACAUAGUGAUCCGGUGGUUCUGUAUGGAAGGGCCAUCGCUCAACGGAUAAAAGGUACUCUGGGGAUAACAGGCUGAUACCGCCCAAGAGUUCAUAUCGACGGCGGUGUUUGGCACCUCGAUGUCGGCUCAUCUCAUCCUGGGGCUGUAGCCGGUCCCAAGGGUAUGGCUGUUCGCCAUUUAAAGAGGUACGUGAGCUGGGUUUAAAACGUCGUGAGACAGUUUGGUCCCUAUCUUCCGUGGGCGCUGCAGAUUUGAGGAAGCCUGCUCCUAGUACGGGAGGACCGGAGUGGACACACCUCUGGUGUAUCGGUUGUCACGCCAGUGGCAUUGCCGAGUAGCUAAGUGUGGAAGAGAUAAACGCUGAAAGCAUCUAAGCGUGAAACUCGUUUCAAGAUGAGAUCUGCCGGGGCCUUGAGCCCCCUGAAGAGUCGCUCAAGACCAGGACGUUGAUAGGUCAGGUGUGGAAGCGCAGUAAUGCGUUAAGCUAACUGAUACUAAUUGCUCGUGCGGCUUGACCGA